GGUGUAUUGUGUCUAAUUAGCAUCAGUUGCAUUUUCUCUGUUACUACCACUCCUGUACCUGGCAUCAUGCAAAUGGUCAGACUGACAGUGGUUGCAUUGCUGGCUGCAGCUUGCUGUACAAUAACAGAUGGAGCAAUCAGCAUCACGUGUGAAGGCCAUGAUGCUUUCUUGCAAUGUGAUGGAGGUAAGAUCCAAAUCAAGCGUGCCAACUAUGGUCGUCGUAAACACGAUGUGUGUUCCAUUGGGCGCCCGAUAACCAACUCACCGACACCAACUGCCUCAGCCAAUCCUCCACCAGCAAGAUGGCAGAAAGGUGCGAUGGAAAGAGCCAGUGUGUUGUCCCGGCAUCCAAUUUGGUUUUGGGGACCCCUGUGUUGGGACUUACAAGUACCUGGACACCAAAUACUCCUGUGUCCAACAGCACAAAACAAUAAGCAGCAUCGUAUGUGAAGGCUCUGAUUCCCAACUACUAUGUGAUCGGGGUGAGAUCCAUAUUCAGCGUGCCAACUAUGGUCGUCGUCAACACGAUGUGUGUUCCAUUGGGCGCCCACAGGAACAACUCAAAAACACCAACUGCCUCAGCCAAUCCAGCACCAGCACAAUGGCAGAAAGGUGUGACGGAGAGCGCCAGUGUAUUGUCGAGGUAUCCAACUCCGUGUUCGGCGACCCCUGUGUUGGAACUUAUAAGUACUUGGAUGUGGCUUACACCUGUGACUGAAUGAUAUCUUCCUGUGGAACAUGAAGAUGUACAAGGCUUCUGGGAUAUCUUCAUCAGGUCGUGCUGUUUUCCUCCAACUUCAAUGACCAUUGUAAACCUGUGUAUUUUGUGUUGAAGCAUUUCUGAACUGUGGUUGGUCUGAAUUAAAUGAAGUGUCAGAAAGACAAGAAU
This is a non-coding RNA of Salmo salar (Atlantic salmon), 889 nucleotides long. NCBI's taxonomy places the organism in Eukaryota, Metazoa, Chordata, Actinopteri, Salmoniformes, Salmonidae. The record is from RefSeq and is a predicted model, not a curated record.